RNAcentral lists this ribosomal RNA (310 nucleotides) under Bdellovibrionales bacterium. RNAcentral's name for it is "partial 23S ribosomal RNA". It matches the Rfam family "Bacterial large subunit ribosomal RNA", at positions 1644 to 1949 of the family's 2925-position model. The record is from RNAcentral. Lineage: Bacteria; Pseudomonadati; Bdellovibrionota; Bdellovibrionia; Bdellovibrionales.
GUACCGCAAACCGACACAGGUGGACAGGUCGAGUAGACUAAGGCUGGCGGAAGAACGAUGGUUAAGGAACUAGGCAAACAAGCUGGGAGUAAUUUCGAGAGAUUCCCUACCCACUACCUUUUUGGUAUGUGGGUUGCAACUAACGAUUAUCAAGCGACUGUUUAUCAAAAACACAGGUCUAUGCAAAAGCGUAAGCUUAGGUAUAUGGGCUGAAACCUGCCCAGUGCCGGAAGGUUAAUUGAGAGGGUGACAUCUUCGGAUUGAGCCUUUGAUCGAAGCCCCGGUGAACGGCAGCAGUAACUAUAAACAU